GAACAGAAAAUAUUUCAGAAUAGCCACAUUCUAACGAAGACCACAAUUAUUAUUGACAAUAUGAAAGGAAAAUAUGACUUUGUUUUUAUACGCAGCGUAUUUAGAGUCACAGAAGCGAGUUUCAACGAUAAUUUCAACUUUUUAGCUGGCUUCUUUGUCCCCAGCCGAACUCACUUUAACCCGGAAAUAUUAAAUUGUUAUAUACUGCGCAUGUACAUGGAGUUCACAAGGUCAAGAAUGUUAUGGGUGAACUGUCAACAAAGACCAUUUUGUUCAACACGUUGAAGUGUUUUGUGGUGUUUUAUGGCUGUUACUAUGUUGUUAGUAGUGUUUGUUAUGCGUGUUACAGAUUGUCAAAUUUUGAUGGACGAAUCCCAUUCAAUUUUAAAACAUGGGUGAAUUUAUCCAACUGCUGUACUGGUUAUACUGAUGAAGAAAUUGUAAAUGUGAUAUCAAUGGAAGUGAGUUAUAGUUUAUGUGGUAUUAUUUAUGGUUUAUUGGUGAGAAACUGGGCCUGGGAUUAUGCUGUAUCAAUAGCUCUCCUGCAUUUGGCUCUGUCAUGUCUUGUUAUGUUAGAUUUUCCUGUCAAUUGGUCUUGGUGGGUUUGUUAUGGUUGUGCCUUGUUGUUAAAGAUAAUAUUUGGAGAAAUGAUCUGUUUCCUGUGGAAACUAAAGAGAAAAGUGAAAGUAGAACCUGGUGAAGUUCCAACCCAGAAAUCCUAUCUCUAUCACAAAAUGUGAUCAUAUCAUUUAUUUGAGGAACUGUUACUUUACUGUCUCAAAUUUUACCAAAGAUUUUACUCUGCAUUUAUUUAGUGGCUUCUCAUUAUCAGUGCCUCAUUUAUCUUUUUUUUGUUGAGGAGUGAAAACCCUUUAUCAUUUAAUAUUUUAAAUUUUAAAAAUGGAUUUUAUAUCUUAUUUUUAAAAAGUUACAACAAUUGUUCUCAAAACAUUCUCAGGCUUUAGUUAAGAAUAUUUCAAAAUUGUUUGUUUUAAUGUAUCAAAUCCGUCAAUAGGAAACUAUGUGCAAAGUUUUGUGUUUCUGGAUCAAAGAUAUUUCUCAUAAACAGUGGUUGAAAGAUGAGUAAAUUCUUAAAUUAAGUCUGAGAAUGCUUUGUGAACUUGGGACAUGGUAUUCUUAAAUACAGCUUAGAGCUAAAGUCUAAAGGGAUCAAGCACACGAUCAUUGUUUGAGAAAUUGUUAAUCCCUAGUGUAGACUAUGUACAAUAGUUUGAAAGUUGAAUCUCUAUGAGAAAUAUCAUUCUAAAGAUAGUUCAGUUCCAUUCAGUAUUUACAAUCUCUGAGGCUGGAGAUCUAUCGUUGAUAUUUUGAUGUUAUUUUCUUAAUCAAAUAAUAAUUUUGUAAAUAAAAUGGAUAUUGUCUGACAAAUGACGACCAGACUUUAAACACAGAUUAGUUCUAAUCAGCAUCUAGAAUAUAUGUCCCUAAAAAAGACUUAUUAAUGUUUCAAGUAGCAUCUAAUUGUUCAGGACUUAAUGUAGAAAAUAUUAGCCUGCUAAUUGGUGAAUUUGUUUUCAUCCCUUCUGUUUAAGGUUGUCUUUGUGAAAUUCAUAGAUCACAUCAUGACAGAAACUGUUAACUGUGCCUUUUUGUUUUUAUUAUACCCCUGAUGUUCAAGUCUUUGGAAGGUGUAAGCUUAUUCAUAAUCGCGGAUCAUCAUGCUAAAUGUUUUAUUUUGUUUCCAUUUUUUAAAUCUCAAUUUAUGGUCCCCUGUAUUUGCAGAUGUGAGUACAGUGAGAGGGGUGGAGACUGCAGUUGUACACACUGUUUUUGGCAAUUUAUUUUUGAGAUAUUCGAUGUCUCUACUACAAUUAGAAUGCCCCUCGUCAAUAUUAUUAUUUUGUCAGUUAUUUUUCAUUUAUUUAUUCUCUUUAGUAGAGUCCAUUUAAUAAUACUGCACUUUCCCAACAAUUCUUUACGGUUAGAACAGAUUUGAUUUGUACACCCGGACCCCAGCCGGCCACCCCAGACCCUCCCUAAAAAAAUCACGACACAGUCUUAUCUUUAAAGACCACGUAAGAUCAAAAAUCUAAAUUGCAUGUAUGUAUAGCCCAUGGUUACUAUAUCAACUUUACGGCAAGUUCACACCAAUCUGAUUAAAAUUAAGUCCGCUAUUAACGUUUAAGUAUCCGACACGCCAAAACGCUUUUCGAUUUUUCAAUUACGACCUUAAUCCGGUUGAUUGGCUGGUGACGUCACAGGCACUACACAUAGGAUAUACAUUAUCUAUACAAUAUCUCACUGUAUGUACAAUAUAGCACUAUCAAUACACACGGCAACUGGACAAGCGUCUAUUGACGGUCCAAUUACCACGUGACUGGCCUAAUCAUAAUCACCGAAUUAUCGUCUUUCAUUGGUAUAGAUUAGACAUUUGUGAAUGGAAUAUUUUAGAGUGAAUUUAAAAUGCCGUAUCAUGCCGUAGAUCAAUUUAAGCUGCCUUUGUUUAAAUAGGCCACGUGUCAAAUAAAGAUGACUCAAGAAAUUGGCGUAUUUACCGGUAAUUUGGAUAACCCCGUAAUACUUGAUAUCCCAAACUUAAGUACAGAAAUACAAAUGGUGCCAGUCAUUUGUCGAUAUAUUCAUUAUUAGCUAUAUAUAAUAAUAAUAACCAUUUCUAUACAUAAAGAACAACUACAGUGAAUAUGGAAUUUUCCGAUGACUAUGCAUAACAUGUACAAUAAAUCGCACUCAUUUCUCUGCCAAUCAACGCUUGGUAUCUUAUUAUCAUGUACCGUUCCAUGUACUACGGGUGUAGUAAAUGAGGUUAAACUUCGCCGCGAAAAUUGCACGGGAUCAUUCGUGGAGUUCCUGGUGCCGUUUGGUGAAUGAUUAAACUGUCAAAGCUGUUGUCGUUGUUGUUUAUUUAACGUCCAAUACAUAAUGCAUGAUAAUUAUUAUGGACAGGUUGAUUUAAUUAAACGUCACUUUAAAACAGAUUUAAAAUAAUUAAAAGUUCUUGUUUAUCUAAAAAUCACUUUAAAACACGGUUUUAAAAAUCGUUGUCGUGGGAAGAGAGGGCGGGUCAUCUUCUCACUUUGUCAUAAUGAAAGUUAAAAUAGGAGAUGCAAUUGUAAAAUACUUUUAUUAUAAAGAAGAUAACCGAUGUUAGACAUUAUAACCUAAUC
Patella vulgata (common limpet) is the source of this 3146-nucleotide long non-coding RNA. RefSeq lists it as uncharacterized. The record is from RefSeq and is a predicted model, not a curated record. Lineage: Eukaryota; Metazoa; Mollusca; Gastropoda; Patellidae. The transcript is spliced from 6 exons.